GCCAAGAGCUUCUUAGGAACCCGGACGGACCCGGCCUGAGGGUGCCGGAGAUGGAGUCGGUUGGCCCUGGGAGAGAACAGGACGUCCUUGCCCGGAAGGAGAAAGGUUUACCGCUCUUCGCCCUGCAGAACCUGACAGUUCUCAUCGCCUCUCUAAUAGGCUUGUGCGCCAAGGGGAUCAUCAUUGUAGGCUGCAGGGGAAAGCACAAUUACUUACCCUCUAUUGACAUCCUGGAUGUACAAGUACUCUUCUGCCAACUAUGGACAAUGAAUACCUAAAGGUAACAAACCAAGAACACAUUAAUAACACUUCAGCAGCACAACCUUGCAAAUCCUCCCUCUUCACUGUCAAAGGAAGUGACAUGCAUCUCAAAGGGAAAGCAUUGACGAACUUAUCCUGCAUGCAAGAUGUCUUCCAGCACUGCAAGGAGUAGCACAUGAGCUCAGGGCUCAUCCUGCUUGCCAUGAGUGCAGCUUUGCAGUAAUGGCUCCAAAAGUGCAACAAACAGCCAGCAACCAGCGCCGAGGCCAAAAAAGGUGAUUACAGAGGCAAAAACUUGAAGGCAGCUAUAUAACCUGCUGAUGGAAACAGAGAUCUACCAGGAAACAAAGAGAAAAUGAAACACAACUGUUUGUCUAUUUAUCUCACCUGCCCAGAGAAAUCCCAGACAAUUCACCUUUCAGGUUAGUGAGGGUCCCCUUUGCCCUACGACAUGCAUGUUGCACCUUCUGCCACCAGGCACUACCUUGGAAAGUGCCCAUGGUACCCAGAAACCAACACAAAGCACACUGCUAGCAGUUCUCAAAAUGAAUCUGGAGCACAGCAGCCCAACUGCUAAAAUUCCCAGAACUGAACCUCUUCCACCAACACACAGAUCCCUCACUGACACCCACAAAAAAUAACAAACAUAAACAACUCCUCUGAGAGGCCCUCUCAAGCCUAUAAACAAGACUUCAAAGCAACAACCUAAACAAUGACCAUACAUCCAAGUUGCAACCAUACUUUGCACCAUAUGGACCAUCAUAUGGAUCUCCUUGAGCUUCUGGCAAUGCUACACACUGUUUUCCUUAGCAACGUGCUGCUCAGAAAGCCUUUCGCAAUUGCAUGUUGUCAUUCAAGGAGUACUGCACAGGUUAAGUGGAGGCAGCUGUCCGCUGGCUAGACAAUGUACAAGAACACCAGCCUAUUAGGCUAUCGGGAAAAGAAAUGUGUGCAGCCCAUACACCAAAAACGUGACCAUCCAUCUAUGGAUAUUUUCUUCUUCUUAAUGUCUGCAUU
This 1278-nucleotide long non-coding RNA is filed under the name Salvator merianae (Argentine black and white tegu). Its description in RNAcentral is "lncRNA (ENSSMRG00000011891.1)". The record is from RNAcentral. Lineage: Eukaryota; Metazoa; Chordata; Lepidosauria; Squamata; Teiidae.